This is a long non-coding RNA of Gossypium arboreum, 645 nucleotides long. RefSeq lists it as uncharacterized. NCBI's taxonomy places the organism in Eukaryota, Viridiplantae, Streptophyta, Magnoliopsida, Malvales, Malvaceae. The record is from RefSeq and is a predicted model, not a curated record. The transcript has 2 exons.
AUCAUUCGUUUUUGUAGCAGAAGCGAUGGCGUGCCUCUAGGCGAUUCAGCUAGGGUUAACUCUCGGACUGCUGGGAGUUGUAAUUGAAGGAGACGCUCAUUUGGUGAUUUGUAAACUGCAAGCAGAAGAAUCAAACAAGGUUGCUCAUAUCCUAGCUACAGAGGGAAUCAAGAGGAGGGAGACCACUUAUCUAAUCAAUGUUUUUCCUUCUUUUGCAUUGGAGGAGGUGGACGUUGAUCGGAGAUGGACGAAAUCUCUGAACGGAAGAAGAUGAAGAAGAGCCCUAGAGAGAUUGAAUCUGAAAUGGAAUGGGUAGGUGAGGAGAUGAUUAAAGGUGCGUGAUGAAGAAGGUUUUUGUUUCUGAUGGAAGAUUUGAUGGCCAGUAACGAUAAUAACUUUCUUUGAGGUUUCCCUAGGUUAAUUUGUUGUUUUUCAGGGAGGGGGUUAAUUAAUCGAUUACAGUUGGAAUAGUUUGAUGUCUCUAGAGUUACCUCCGAAUAUCAAACUGGAUCCAGGCUUUGUUUUCUUUUCACUUUUUGGUCUAUGUCCUUUAUUGUCUUUGAACCUUUUUAACUUAGUUUGUAAGUCCUUUUGGACAUGUUUAAUUAUUAAAUAAAGGAUCCAGGUAUUUCUUUCAAAAAAAAA